GUUUUUCUAUUGGUCCACGGCACUCAGCUUCCGUUUUGAACCCAAACUGUACUACUUGGUGGUGAUUGUAACAGCAGAGGUGUGUUUUUGCUUUUCAUCCCUUAGUUUUUAGAUUAGUGCAGUUUGAUUUGACAGUUGGGCUUUACGUUUUUUGAAGUUAAUUCACGUGAUAAAUACAAUAAGCAAUAGCAAAUCAUUAUUAGACCUAUACGAACAUUAUGGAUAAAUAUUUGCUACUUGGUUGGUGAACUUGGUGAAUUUUGCAGAUCUAAUCAAAGAUGGCAAGACAGGGAGUAUCAAGACCAAAGGUAGUGGUUGUAAGCUAUUACAUAUGUUUUGUUAUUAUAUAUUAUAUAAGUUAUUGUACGUUGUUUUGUUUUAUCACUAAAUAAAUUAUGUUUUGCAGGUGAUCUCAUCAGGCAGGCUGACAGGCUCUGGACGUGGACAGAUACACAAGAAAAGACUCUGAAGAUCAGGUAAAGAAGCCACAUACAAGUAGUGUAUGCAUAAACUGAACAGCACUGAGAAUCAGUAUAAUGAUUUUUGUCACGUUGCAAAUUGCAUCCAGGUGACAACAAUACACAAGGGACUCGACCGAUGUGCUGCUUUACUCAAUGGGAUACUUCAAGCUGAACAAGCAGGGAACAAAAACCUGCACCUUCAAAUCCAAACCCAAGAAUUUAUUAAGAAAAAUUGAAACUGACAAGAAAAGGCAUGGGAAGAAGACAAACACAGCUAUACAUGCAAACAAAAGGCCAGCUCCAGUGCAGAAGAUGAUUCCAUCUGCCAGUUGUCACCUGAGUUCAGCAGGGCGUCGUGAUCAGAACUUUGGGAUCAGACGGGCACAAGUGUCACAGGAUCCUCCUUCAGGACUGACCCCUGUAACGCAAGCAGAACACGAACAGCAAAACUCACUUCCACUGGCCUGCUCUCAGCUUGCUGCUAGCUGUAAUAUUCCAUCUUCGGAUCAGGUUCACACAUCCACUGUAUUUAACUGUCGGCUGACAACAUCCACACCUGCACUGAGCCCUCAGAGACCUGGAUCAGUUCACAGUGAACCUGUAUGUUGUUUACUGCACUAUAAUCCACUAUGCAAACAAUGAGGGCUGUCGAUCCAUUAAAAAUGAAUCAAUCAUUUAAAUUACACAAACACACACACACACACACAUAUAUAUAUAGUAUUAAUGAUAAAAUCACCCAAACCAAGAUAAUUCAACAACAUUAUUGUGGCAGACGAGUAAAGCAUUUGAUAGAAAUGGCAAGUGGAAGUAAAUAUAUUGUUGUUUUAUUAUUAUAACUGAACAUAAGCCUAUCACCAUAGAAUUUAAUACAGACCACAUUUGCAUUGUCUACACUAGCUUGUUGGCCUAUGUACUGUUCAUAUGUGACAGAGUUCAAUUCAAGUUCAAAUUUUUUUCUUAUGCU
Molecule: long non-coding RNA, 1425 nt
Filed under: Sinocyclocheilus rhinocerous
Lineage: Eukaryota; Metazoa; Chordata; Actinopteri; Cypriniformes; Cyprinidae
Description: lncRNA (ENSSRHG00000002126.1)
Source: RNAcentral